CGCCCGUUUCCUGUUAUCCCGCCCUCUCUGGUUGGCGAAUUUCAAAGUCGCGGAGCCAAUGAGAGCGUCCGGACGCGCGCCGGGGUUCUCUGUCCAGAACAGGGCGCGCCCUUUGAAGAAAGAAACUGUCGCGGGAGAGUCAUGGUGGGACCGGGCCCUGCUGCCAGCGCAGCCGCGGAAGAAAGAUGGAGAAAGCUCCAAGAGUACCUGGCAGCCAAGGGAAAGCUGAAGGAUCCUAACACCAAGCCUUAUCUAAAAGCCAAGAACAUCUGCCCCAAACCACCAUCUUCUAAAUAUACUCCUGGACCCAAAAAAGAUGUUUCCAGCCAUGCUGUUUUACCUGUCAGAACUACAAAACCCAUCAACAUCAAACUCCAGACUAAACCAGCCAGUAUCACAGGGUCCCAGAAGCCAGAGUUGGAGCCACGAAAACUUGCAGACAAAGGGCUCACUUCAAGAUGUUUUUCUUCUAACUCAGACUACAAACAGUCCAGCAAGAGUCAGCCGCAGCACAGGGCUACGUCAUCCACUACAGGACUACCAAGCAAACCCAGGCAAUCCCCUGGGACCCAGGAUUUGGAACCCAAAAAGCAGCAGCCAGCACAUCAAGGAACUGCUGAUUGCACCAAUCCUGCAGCUAGGACCAACAUCAAAAACCAGUCUUUGAAGGGCUUUCAAGAUGAGAUGAACAAAGAGAACUUGCUAGAACCUGGGAAGCCAGAUCCCGACUUAUGCCCCAGAAGUAAGCCAAACACUGGCUCCUAUAAUCAAUCCCGGAAAAGCCUGGCUCCUAAACAGAUCUUGAAUAAAAGUUCGGUUAACCAUACCAUUCUGAAAGACAGAGCUAACAAACAGGUUGUUAGAAACACACAAGUCAGAGCUCACCCAGUGAAGUCGCAGCACCUCUCUACAGAUACAGAUUCCGCACGACCUACAGAAAAAGCCCCACGGACAGUUCCCCCUCGAUUCAUUACAGCCCAUAAUAAGACUCAGACGGCAAAGAAACCCGUGGUCAAGGACACACAGGACGUAAAGGUUAGCAGGAUUAAAUGUGGAAGACCGCAUGAAACUACGGUACAGCCACACCCUGCUACCGAACGGAAAGUAAAGCAUACUAAACCUGGUUCCCACCCCAGCUUGCUUCAGGGAGGACAGAACAACAGACAGCCUCCCAUCAAGCAGGAUCAAAAAGCUGCGCAGCCUUGUCUUGGACCCCGGACAUCAUGCAUUCUGCAGAAGUCAAGAGCCAUAAGCCAGAGGCCUAAUUUGACAGCUGGCAACUUUAAUUCGGUCACUCUAAGCACCCCUAGCAUAGGAGCAAAUAAAACCCAUAACCACAAAUGCAAUAGCAUCUUUCAACAAAAAGCACAGACUCUGGACUUCAAGCUCAAAAAGGUUCUUCCCCAGAGCCAGUUUCUGAGCAAGACUGCUCCCAAAACUCAAGCUGGUAUGUCAGCCGCAAGUAGGAGAGGAGCCCCGAGCGCCAGCCACAUUCGUCCGCGUGUCAAAGAGACGCAAGGGGAGGACCGGAGGAAACAGCUGGAAGAAUGGCAGAAAUCUAAAGGGAAAACCUAUAAACGCCCUCCCAUGAAGUUCAAAGCCAAGAGAAAAGUCAUAGAGGAAAUGAACAUCUCAUUCUGGAAGAGCAUGGAGAGGGAGGCAGAGGAGGAGGAAGAAAAGAAAGCCCAGCUGGAGCUGUCCAGUAAGAUUAACAAUACUCUGACAGAAUGUCUGAGGCUCAUUGAAGAGGGUGUAUUUCCUAAUGAAAUAUUUACCAUCUUGUCCAGCAUUCCUGAGGCUGAAAAAUUUUCCAAGUUCUGGGUCUGCAAAGCGAAGUUACUGGCAAGUAAAGGCCCCUUUGAUGCUACUGGACUGUAUGAAGAGGCCAUCAAACAUGGGGCAGCACCAACGCAAGAACUGAGGAACGUUCUGAGCAGCCUGCAAGACUCAAGCAGAAGCACAGAGGCAGUCACCUCUGACUCGUUAGCUGCUGGAACUAAUGUCACAUCUGUGGAUGAGCCGGCCAAGAAGGAGGAAUGUGGGCAGUCGUGUCUUUCUCUAACAGAGGGAGAACAGGUUACAACAGCACCGCCAAUAACCGCGGCAGAAUGGGAUAACCCUGGCAUCAAACUACAGAUCGCCGCAGUCCCCAAGAUAUGUGGUAUGCCAGAAAUGCAAGACAUGAAGCUUAUCACUCCCGUGAGGCGCUCAGCGAGGAUCGAGAGAGCAGUGGCCCGCUACCCAGAAAUGCUGCAGGAUCAUGACCUUGUGGUGGCUUCUCUUAAUGAGCUCCUGGAAGUGGACAAAACAGAGUACUUUGUCUUCCGGGAAAAUGAGGCUUUACCUGUGACACUAGGUUUCGAAAUCCUUGAAUCAUGAUCUUUUGAUUUUUUUUUUAUUUAAUGAGUUUUUUCCAGGGCUUGUAUGAGAUAAGAGAUGCUCUUGUCAAGAAGGCCUGAGGUAAAUGUGCAUGGAGACGCCAGGGUGCAGAGCAGAGACUUUGUGUCUGAGGAAGCAACGCGUGGGUUUACUCUCACACUGUAUAUCCCAUGGAAAACUGUGGCUCGUGUGUUUGGUUAUAUACUUUGUGAUAGUUUUUCGGCAUACAUAAGUUUCGGAGUAUCAAAUAUUUUAUCUCAAAUGUAGAAAAGAAAAACCAUACUUUGUUGAUCUACUGUAAUUCUAUUUUUGAACCCAAAGGUUGAUGCUGUGGGGUGACUGACUGUUCUUUUGCCAUCCACCUUACCUAGGAAGGCAGAUGCCUCGGGUGGGAAGAUUUGAGUUUGAAACCAGCUCACCAGGCGGGAUGGUCGAACCUCACACAUCAGGAAGGUUAGGUUAGCCAUGCCUUCACUCGGUUUCCAGGUGACAUUCAUGGAGUCCUUUGACCUCUGUCACAGUGACCCUAUAGGUGAGGGUGACUCGUGUCCUCGCUGAGUGGGUCUCCUCUAGUGAAGCACAACCCAGAGUUUCGUGGCUAGCCGGGUUUUUCUUGGACACAGUCCUCAUUUUGCCCUUGUUAUUCAGAAAUGCUUCAAGUGAAAAGAGAAGUUGUGGAGACACUUGCUGCAUACAUUGUUUUCAGGAGACUCAGCCUGAAGAGACUGUGAAUCCCAGAGACUAUGGCAGGGGUUUUUCUUCUCCUUGGGUUUUUCUUCUCCUCUUAGAGAGGAAAACCAGAAUUGUUUUGUAAAUAUAAUGUAUAGAAAGCCUACUUGGUACGUUUUAAAUUUCAGCCUUGUUACUCUUAUUACUAAGUAAUAUCUAAAAUAAAUAAAUAAAUAAAAAUUAAAUAGUUGUUCA
This is an RNA transcript of Alexandromys fortis (reed vole), 3303 nucleotides long. It is a transcript of the gene named cytoskeleton associated protein 2 like, with no coding region annotated. The record is from RefSeq and is a predicted model, not a curated record. The transcript has 10 exons. NCBI's taxonomy places the organism in Eukaryota, Metazoa, Chordata, Mammalia, Rodentia, Cricetidae.